GUUGACGAAGUGACAUUCGUUGGCCCAACUGUGAAAAGUGUUUUGUAAAUUCCCUUUGAAGAUUCAAACUGAGAGAAUGGAGAAUAAACUGGAGAGUGUUUUUCUUGUGAGAAAUGUGCUUCCACAGGUCCACCACUGUCUUUGUUCCACUCUCCGUAUCCAGACCUCCAUGUCAGCUUUCCAGGAAAAGACCAUAUUCUGCCAUCUGUGACAUCACUUUAUUGUCAUAUAAAGUGUUCUUCACAAGACAUUUUGAAGAGGCCUGAUUGUUGGAGUGGGCACUUGGAAUUUGUGAAAAUCACACCUCUUUAAGAUGUUUCAAAUUAAGCCACCACAUGUCAAAGGAUGUCAAAUCAUUGUUGCUCAUAAUAAUCAUAGCUACUUAUACAGAAGAAUAACAGCAGUAAAAAUACAUGAGGAGUUUGAAUGGAGUUAAAGAAAAACAAGGGCUGAAAUUAUAAAGAUCUUCUGAAUUCUCUGUUCAGUAAUAAAACCCAUCCAAGCACUGUA
Molecule: long non-coding RNA, 510 nt
Organism: Alligator mississippiensis (American alligator)
Lineage: Eukaryota; Metazoa; Chordata; Crocodylia; Alligatoridae
Exons: 4
Source: RefSeq, a predicted model, not a curated record